Molecule: transfer RNA, 72 nt
Filed under: Cricetulus griseus (Chinese hamster)
Lineage: Eukaryota; Metazoa; Chordata; Mammalia; Rodentia; Cricetidae
Rfam family: tRNA
About the family: Transfer RNA (tRNA) molecules are approximately 80 nucleotides in length. Their secondary structure includes four short double-helical elements and three loops (D, anti-codon, and T loops). Further hydrogen bonds mediate the characteristic L-shaped molecular structure. tRNAs have two regions of fundamental functional importance: the anti-codon, which is responsible for specific mRNA codon recognition, and the 3' end, to which the tRNAs corresponding amino acid is attached (by aminoacyl-tRNA synthetases). tRNAs cope with the degeneracy of the genetic code in two manners: having more than one tRNA (with a specific anti-codon) for a particular amino acid; and 'wobble' base-pairing, i.e. permitting non-standard base-pairing at the 3rd anti-codon position.
Source: Rfam by way of RNAcentral
GGGUGAUAGCUCAGUGGGUAAGGGCACUUGCUCUGCAAGCAUGAGGACCUGAGUUCAAAUCUCUUGCAUCCA